GACAGAGGGUGCAAACGUUGUUCGGAAUUACUGGGCGUAAAGCGCGUGUAGGCGGCAGCGCAAGUCGGAUGUGAAAUCCCAUGGCUCAACCAUGGAAGUGCACCCGAAACUGCGUCGCUAGAGUCCUGGAGAGGAAGGUGGAAUGCUUGGUGUAGAGGUGAAAUUCGUAGAUAUCAAGCGGAACACCGGUGGCGAAGGCGGGUCUCUGGGCCGUAACUGACGCUGAGGAGCGAAAGCGUGGGGAGCGAACAGG
Molecule: ribosomal RNA, 253 nt
Filed under: uncultured bacterium
Lineage: Bacteria
Description: partial 16S ribosomal RNA
Rfam family: Bacterial small subunit ribosomal RNA
Source: RNAcentral